This 245-nucleotide ribosomal RNA is filed under the name uncultured bacterium. RNAcentral's name for it is "partial 16S ribosomal RNA". It matches the Rfam family "Bacterial small subunit ribosomal RNA", at positions 524 to 768 of the family's 1533-position model. The record is from RNAcentral.
UACGUAGGAUGCAAGCGUUGUCCGGAUUUACUGGGCGUAAAGGGCGCGCAGGCGGCCUAUCAAGUCACACGUGAAAGCCCCCGGCUAAACCGGGGAGGGUCGUGUGAGACUGGUAAGCUAGAGUGCAGCAGAGGAUAGUGGAAUUCCCGGUGUAGUGGUGAAAUGCGUAGAGAUCGGGAGGAACACCAGUGGCGAAAGCGGCUAUCUGGGCUGUAACUGACGCUGAGGCGCGAAGGCUAGGGGAG